This is a long non-coding RNA of Hermetia illucens (black soldier fly), 1434 nucleotides long. RefSeq lists it as uncharacterized. NCBI's taxonomy places the organism in Eukaryota, Metazoa, Arthropoda, Insecta, Diptera, Stratiomyidae. The transcript has 3 exons. The record is from RefSeq and is a predicted model, not a curated record.
UAGCUAUUGGGUGUUAACGUUUGUAAAUUAAACGCGAUUUGUAGCUAACAAUUAAACUUUUUAUUUAACUCAAAUUACAAACACGCGGAAUUGAAAUUAUGACUGUAGAUUGAGCGAGAGGAUCUGACAGUUGACGGAUAUGUCUAUGACAACUUAUGACAGCAUUGUCACACCCCUACAUCACUCUCACCCGAGUGACAUUGCCGUCACGAUGACUUUUCGCUGGAGGAUAAGUGUGCUUCGGUGGCGGUCUGGAAUACAAAUAUGUUCGUUUAAGAUCCUGGUGAGUUUUAUUUUCGUCAUUCAGGAAGAAGGCUGGCUUUAGUCGUUCUGUUGAGACGUUGAAGUUCUUUCCAUUAACUUCAAUUCGAAAUAGACGAUUGGUGAUUCGUUCGAUAACAGGAUGCGGACCUGAGUAAGGUGGCGAUAAUGAUAUACGAACUCGAUCAUCUCGUAGAAAUACGUGUGUGGCAGAACUUAAGUUUCGGUGUACGAAUUCGACAGUUGAUUCACGAAUUGAGCUGGAUUAUCGUCAACAGUUUGAUCAUCGAAAAAUUCACCUGGCAGUCGUACAGUGGAUCCAUACAUGAGCUCGGCACAUGAUGCGUUUAAAUCAUCCUUGUAACACGAUCGUAGUCCAAGUAGAAUGGUUGGGAACGAUGCCAUCUCUCAAGAAUGCCGUUGGAAGCUGGAUGGUAUGCCGAGGUUCUUGUUCGUUCGCAACCGAUUAGUUUCGCGAGUGAUUGGAAUAGUGCCGAUUCAAACUGGGAUCCUUGAUCCGUUGUAAUUAUUCGUGGCACUCCGAAUCUGGCUAUCCAAUUGUUGUAAAAAGUUUCGGCGACUGUAUUCGCUGUCUGGUCGCUUAUCGGUAUUGCCUCCGGCCAACGAGAGAAUCGAUCUAUCAUCGUCAAACAAUAUUUGAAACCUUUCGAGAGUGGGAACGGGCCAACUAUGUCGAUGUGUACCUGAUCGAAUCGACCAUCGGGAAUGGUGAUAUGCUGAGGAACGUUCUUCGUGUGUCUGCUUACCUUCGAACGUUGACACGGUAUGCAUGUUCGGCACCAUAACAGGAUGUCUUUACGCAUAUUCGGCCAGACGAAUUUGUUGCAAAUUUGUCGCGAUGUGGAACGUCCGCUUGGAUGAGCGAGCUGGUGAAUAGUGUCGAAUACUUUUCGUCGAAGUUGGGUAGGGAUGUAAGGUCGGACUUUACUGUCGGUUACAUCACAAUAAACUGGAAGUUGUCCUGCAGUCUGUAUUGCUUGUAGUUUUAAUGAAGUUGUGUUGCUAUUUAGUAAGGCUUGAAGUUCUUGAUCUUGUUGCUGUUCAUGCGAUAGUUUGUCUGCGGUGAACGAAGAUGGUAUGGAAAUGGCGUCAACUCGUGAUAGUAAGUCGGCGACUAUGUUGCUCUUUCCUGGUAUGUGGCUGAUAUGCGUU